GGAAGUGUGGCAGAGUGGUUUAAUGCACCGGUCUUGAAAACCGGCGACGGUUUAUAGCCGUCCGUGAGUUCAAAUCUCACCGCUUCCGCCA
This 91-nucleotide transfer RNA is filed under the name Sutterella sp. CAG:397. Its description in RNAcentral is "transfer RNA-Ser(TGA)". It matches the Rfam family "tRNA". Rfam says of the family: Transfer RNA (tRNA) molecules are approximately 80 nucleotides in length. RNAcentral also lists the same sequence under 3 other names. The record is from RNAcentral. Lineage: Bacteria; Pseudomonadati; Pseudomonadota; Betaproteobacteria; Burkholderiales; Sutterellaceae.